Molecule: long non-coding RNA, 1011 nt
Organism: Loxodonta africana (African savanna elephant)
Lineage: Eukaryota; Metazoa; Chordata; Mammalia; Proboscidea; Elephantidae
Exons: 3
Source: RefSeq, a predicted model, not a curated record
GGAAAGAGGCGAAGGGAAGUGAGUUCUUCACAAUUUUAUUGUUUUGGCGUCAAAGAUUCCAGUUGAUUGCUAUUUCCUAUCUGCAACAUCCAGCAAAAGCUUCAUAACUUCCCAUUUGGCUGGCAAAACAAAACAAAAUCAUCAGAGAGUCCAGAAGCUUGAGAAAGGUGGUUUAUAAGAGAACACACCCAAGAUCCUUGAGCCCAUGGACAACUACAGCUCUGUGAUAAAUCUGCAUGAAUCUUCAACAGGAAGAUCAAGGAAUGGGCUGAUGGUGCUGUGUCAGUGGUGCUUGGAGGCACUUGUGGUGAUAGGGAGAAGACUCCAUGUGCGCUGAUCAGCUCUCUAGCCUCCAUUUCUUGGAGAGCCGUAAAUACUGUCUCCUACACUUGGGCAACCACAUCGGCCACGAUUCAAGAUCCGCGUAAGCCAGUCCCCGUGUUCUUGGCCACAGGGAUGAGUCAACGGACGGGAACGUGUUCCAAGUCUGGCUAAUCAGAGCCAGAGACACUUAAUUUCAGGGACUUUAUUUGAACCGUUAGGGUUUCAGACCUAAUUUCUUCCAUAUUUGUUCCAAGAAGCACGUAGCCCUAGAUGCUAUUGCCAGCCAUUUUAUGACCAUGAAGGUGGAUAAUCCGUUGAGAAACUGGAACUGAAAAUAGAGAAAGUCAGUCCUGCCUACACUGUCUGAGCCCAUGUAUCCAGUCUCCCUCUAGGUUUUAUUUAAUUUUUUUGAUACUGAGCUAAUAAAUUGCUUUCAUAACUUAGGCCAGGUCUGAACUGGGUUGCUUCUUCUAUCUAACCAAAAGCAUUUAUGCUAAUAUAGCCUUCCAUUUUUUUGGAUUCAAUUUUAGAAAUAAAAAUUAAAAUAUCAAUUUUUUUCUUACUCUGCAGUUUGCAGGGAUAUUCCACAUUCAUUAUCUCAUUUGAUUCUGACAAAUAACAUGCCAUUUUACAGAUGAAAGUCAUUAGUGGAUAAUUUGGAACUGGAAUUCACAUUUUGGAUUCUUA